UACGUAGGUGGCAAGCGUUGUCCGGAAUUAUUGGGCGUAAAGAGCGUGUAGGCGGCCAGAUAGGUCCGUUGUGAAAACUGGAGGCUUAACCUCCAGCGGUCGAUGGAAACCAUUUGGCUAGAGUCCGGAAGAGGAGAGUGGAAUUCCUGGUGUAGCGGUGAAAUGCGCAGAUAUCAGGAAGAACACCCGUGGCGAAGGCGGCUCUCUGGGACGGUACUGACGCUGAGACGCGAAAGCGUGGGGAGCGAACAGG
Molecule: ribosomal RNA, 253 nt
Filed under: uncultured bacterium
Lineage: Bacteria
Description: partial 16S ribosomal RNA
Rfam family: Bacterial small subunit ribosomal RNA
Source: RNAcentral